This 264-nucleotide unclassified non-coding RNA is filed under the name uncultured fungus. RNAcentral describes it as "partial contains 5.8S rRNA and ITS2". The stretch from base 1 to 52 matches the Rfam family "5.8S ribosomal RNA", at positions 103 to 154 of the family's 154-position model. Lineage: Eukaryota; Fungi. The record is from RNAcentral.
AACGCAGCUUGCGCUCUUUGGUAUUCCAAAGAGCAUGCCUUUUUGAGUGUCGUUAAUCUUCUUCAAUUGCGUUUUUGCACACACAAAAACGCAUGCGAGUCCUUGGGUUUGAUUGACAUGCCCUGUCAAUCUUACCUUAAAUGUAUGAGCUGGAGAUCAGUCAGGUUGCUAAGGCAUUUUAAACCUGCGUAAACGGUCUCUGCUUUUUAAAUUAAACUAUUAACUACUGGCCUCAAAUAAGGUAGGACUACCCGCUGAACUUAA